ACAUGCAAGUCGAGCGGCAGCGGGAAGAUAGCUUGCUAUCUUUGCCGGCGAGCGGCGGACGGGUGAGUAAUGCCUAGGGAUCUGCCCAGUCGAGGGGGAUAACAGUUGGAAACGACUGCUAAUACCGCAUACGCCCUACGGGGGAAAGGAGGGGACCUUCGGGCCUUCCGCGAUUGGAUGAACCUAGGUGGGAUUAGCUAGUUGGUGAGGUAAUGGCUCACCAAGGCGACGAUCCCUAGCUGUUCUGAGAGGAUGAUCAGCCACACUGGGACUGAGACACGGCCCAGACUCCUACGGGAGGCAGCAGUGGGGAAUAUUGCACAAUGGGGGAAACCCUGAUGCAGCCAUGCCGCGUGUGUGAAGAAGGCCUUCGGGUUGUAAAGCACUUUCAGUAGGGAGGAAAGGUAGCAGCUUAAUACGCUGUUGCUGUGACGUUACCUACAGAAGAAGGACCGGCUAACUCCGUGCCAGCAGCCGCGGUAAUACGGAGGGUCCGAGCGUUAAUCGGAAUUACUGGGCGUAAAGCGUGCGCAGGCGGUUUGUUAAGCGAGAUGUGAAAGCCCCGGGCUCAACCUGGGAAUUGCAUUUCGAACUGGCGAACUAGAGUCUUGUAGAGGGGGGUAGAAUUCCAGGUGUAGCGGUGAAAUGCGUAGAGAUCUGGAGGAAUACCGGUGGCGAAGGCGGCCCCCUGGACAAAGACUGACGCUCAGGCACG
RNAcentral lists this ribosomal RNA (715 nucleotides) under Shewanella baltica. RNAcentral describes it as "bacterial SSU rRNA". It matches the Rfam family "Bacterial small subunit ribosomal RNA", at positions 53 to 755 of the family's 1533-position model. Lineage: Bacteria; Pseudomonadati; Pseudomonadota; Gammaproteobacteria; Alteromonadales; Shewanellaceae. The record is from RNAcentral.